This 220-nucleotide long non-coding RNA is filed under the name Elaeis guineensis (African oil palm). RNAcentral's name for it is "long non-coding RNA (EGUI_LNC058228)". Lineage: Eukaryota; Viridiplantae; Streptophyta; Magnoliopsida; Arecales; Arecaceae. The record is from RNAcentral.
UGGCCUUCUUCUCAUCCCUUGCUUUCUUUUCUUCAUAAACCUUUUAAAUUUGUGAGUAAUGAGGGCUAAUUCUUCAUCUUCAUCAUCAUCUUCAGUAUAGUUAGAUUCCUCCUCUUGGUGGACAGUGAACUUUAGAGCUAUUAUCUUUUUCUUCUUAACCUCUUCUUCAUUAUGCUGUCUCAUACUCAAUUCAUGAGUCAUGAAUGAUCCUAGAAGCUCC